This 253-nucleotide ribosomal RNA is filed under the name uncultured bacterium. RNAcentral describes it as "partial 16S ribosomal RNA". It matches the Rfam family "Bacterial small subunit ribosomal RNA", at positions 524 to 776 of the family's 1533-position model. The record is from RNAcentral.
UACGUAGGGGGCAAGCGUUGUCCGGAAUUAUUGGGCGUAAAGAGCGCGUAGGCGGUCCGAUAAGUCGGCUGUGAAAGUCAGGGGCUCAACCCUUGAAAGCCGGCCGAUACUGUCGGACUAGAGUCCGGAAGAGGCGAGUGGAAUUCCCGGUGUAGCGGUGAAAUGCGCAGAUAUCGGGAGGAACACCGGUGGCGAAGGCGGUUCUCUGGGCCUUACCUGACGCUGAGGAGCGAAAGCGUGGGGAGCGAACAGG